Molecule: ribosomal RNA, 552 nt
Filed under: uncultured bacterium
Lineage: Bacteria
Description: partial 16S ribosomal RNA
Rfam family: Bacterial small subunit ribosomal RNA
Source: RNAcentral
UGGGGAAUUUUGGACAAUGGGCGAAAGCCUGAUCCAGCAAUGCCGCGUGUGUGAAGAAGGCCUUCGGGCUGUAAAGCACUUUUGUCCGGAAAGAAAUCCUUGGCUCUAAUACAGUCGGGGGAUGACGGUACCGGAAGAAUAAGCACCGGCUAACUACGUGCCAGCAGCCGCGGUAAUACGUAGGGUGCAAGCGUUAAUCGGAAUUACUGGGCGUAAAGCGUGCGCAGGCGGUUUGCUAAGACCGAUGUGAAAUCCCCGGGCUCAACCUGGGAACUGCAUUGGUGACUGGCAGGCUAGAGUAUGGCAGAGGGGGGUAGAAUUCCACGUGUAGCAGUGAAAUGCGUAGAGAUGUGGAGGAAUACCGAUGGCGAAGGCAGCCCCCUGGGCCAAUACUGACGCUCAUGCACGAAAGCGUGGGGAGCAAACAGGAUUAGAUACCCUGGUAGUCCAGCGCCUUAAACGAUGUCAACUAGUUGUUGGGGAUUCAUUCCUUAGUAACGUAGCUAACGCGUGAAGUUGACCGCCUGGGGAGUACGGUCGCAAGAUUAAAAC